Centrocercus urophasianus (Greater sage-grouse) is the source of this 1526-nucleotide long non-coding RNA. RefSeq lists it as uncharacterized. The transcript is spliced from 6 exons. NCBI's taxonomy places the organism in Eukaryota, Metazoa, Chordata, Aves, Galliformes, Phasianidae. The record is from RefSeq and is a predicted model, not a curated record.
GUGAUCUGAAAAACCUUGGUUUUAUCCUGGGAAGUGACCUGAGGAAUUUCAAAAAUCCUUAGAUUGAGGAAAAUAUCUCCUGAUCUCAAAAUGGUUUGUUCAGGAUGAAAUCAACAAAGAGCUGGAGUGACUCAGGUACUGCAGCAUUCCAUUUGUAAACAGCAAAGUAUCAGUGCAUUGAACAGAAACCUCAAAACUCCCUAACAGCUAAUGGAUCUAGAGGCAGACCACGGAUGGAUGUGAGCGAGGGUGAAGCAGAGCUCCAAAGGAGCGUGUUAUAGAGAUGGAUUACGCAGUCUCAACCAGGAUGAGGAACUGAACUCACUCCCACAUUCAGUGAGAGCUGUGGCCCAGACAGCUGCCUUGGGAGAAGCAUUGGCUUUUCUCCUGGUGGGCAAGUCUUGCAUUUCUGAAUGACUUUAACAAGAAGUGCUUAAGUGCUUGAGUUUUGCAAAUUGAAGCAGUUAAGCAGUUGCUUCACAAACAAGCUGGUUCUUGCCCUUGCUUUCUUGCAUGGUUUUUCUUGCAGUGUUAUUACCUUGCUCACUGUCCCAGGUCAGCCUGGGAAGCACAUGAAUCAGAUUAGAAGCUUUCUGCUAAGAGGGGCUGGGUGGUGUGAGCAACAGCUAUAGGGAGCAUAGGAGAUGUUUGCUGAAUUUUGGAAGUAGCAAACUCAGGCUCUGGAGGGGCAUUUGCAAGGAAGGAAGACAUCCUGAGUUUUGCCAGGUAAGUGCAAGGCAGAAGAUGGGGUUAGGAGAUGUUUUGUUGCUCCAAAUGAUGCUGAUGCUCCUUCUGCAGCUCUGCUCUUCUCAUUAGAUGGCUGUGAAGCCCACGCUCAGAAACCACCAGGUAGCAGGAGGGCAUCACAUGACUGCUCAUGAGUGCCCAAACUGCUUCCCAUGGCUUAUGCAGUGUUGGCAAGGAUUUUGGUGCCAGUUCUCCAAGGAGAGCCACAGCAAACUCCUGACCUGGAGCCUCUCAGCAGAUUUCCCAAUGAUACAGGAGAGAUACUGGGCGAGGCCUUGACAAAGCAAAGUGACUUACAGAGUGACCUAGCUGACAUGGGUUGCAGCCAAGAGCAACAGAUUCGGCAGUGAUAUCCCUGGGUGUGGAGCUCAGGCAUUGCAUCUGUACCAAAGAUGCACAAGUGGCCAUUGAGCUGUAGCUCUCUAAGUCCUCCACAAGGCUCGGGAGACAUGGGAUGCUUCACUGGCGGCUUGAUAAGAGGGAAAUGCUGCUUUCCUGUGAGUGAGUGAAGGCUCCCAUGGCUGCUGGGAAGGAAGAUGGUAGCCUGCCAGCAUCGCACCCUCCAGCUUGGUGCCACUGGUGAGGAGCUGCUCCUACGGAGUUGAGAACACACAGGCAUACACUGGAUCCUGACUUUGUUUCAACUGGAAAACAUAUUUGAAUAUAGACUUUUCUUAAAAAAAAAAAAAAAAAAAAAAAAGAAAAAAAAGAAAAACAGAAGAGAGUCAAUCCAGCUGCUUUAAUCCUUACUUCUUCUUGUUCUGGCUGUUUGCAUUUGG